Non-coding RNA from Burkholderia sp. TSV86, 117 nucleotides. The record is from Rfam. Lineage: Bacteria; Pseudomonadati; Pseudomonadota; Betaproteobacteria; Burkholderiales; Burkholderiaceae.
CGCGUAUUUCGCGCAGGCGGAACUCGACCGCCGACCGAAAUGAUGGUCUCGUUCAUCGACGAGCAGCGCGCAUCGCACGGUGUCGAGUCGAUCUGCAGGGUGCUGUCGAUCGCGCCG